CCGUGUAACAUCGAGUCUUUGAACGCAAGUUGCGCCCGAUGCCAUUAGGUUGAGGGCACGUCUGCCUGAGUGUCACAUAUCGAAGCCUCCUUGACUAUUUUGCAGGGUGGAUGUUGGCCUCCCGUGAGCUCUUUUGUCUCAUGGUUGGUUGAAAAUUGAGACCUUGGUAGGGUGUGCCAUGAUAGAUGGUGGUUGUGUGACCCACGAGACCAAUCAUGCGCUUCUCUAUUGAAUUUGGCCUCUUUUACCCAUAUGCGUUUCUAAACGCUCGUGAUGAGACCUCAGGUCAGGCGGGACUACCCGCUGAAUUUAAGCAUAUCAAUAAGCGGAGGAAAAGAAACUAACAAGGAUUCCCUUAGUAACGGCGAGCGAACCGGGAUAAGCCCACCAUGAGAAUCGGUCGCCCUCGGCGUUCGAAUUGUAUCGAAAAAAAAACCGUCAAAUGG
RNAcentral lists this ribosomal RNA (446 nucleotides) under Vicia cracca (bird vetch). RNAcentral's name for it is "eukaryotic LSU rRNA". The stretch from base 277 to 446 matches the Rfam family "Eukaryotic large subunit ribosomal RNA", at positions 1 to 170 of the family's 3401-position model. Lineage: Eukaryota; Viridiplantae; Streptophyta; Magnoliopsida; Fabales; Fabaceae. The record is from RNAcentral.